Molecule: long non-coding RNA, 297 nt
Filed under: Elaeis guineensis (African oil palm)
Lineage: Eukaryota; Viridiplantae; Streptophyta; Magnoliopsida; Arecales; Arecaceae
Description: long non-coding RNA (EGUI_LNC061295)
Source: RNAcentral
AUUUUUAGGAUUCACCAUUGGAGAAAAUUGGUCUCCCAUAGAAUUAUCGAAACCUGCCAUUUAAAUCAAAGUGAAGAAGCUUAAAAAGCAGUCUAGAAAAAGGGAAAGAAAGAAGGGGGAAACAGAUGGACGAGGAAGGGUGAUCAAGAAAAUCCAUCUAAGAACAAAGAUAAACGAUAGAGUAAUGAAACAACAGAAAAAAUACUUCAAAAGUACUUUCAAAAAACUACAGCAAAGAUGGAAUUGAAGAAAGAUGAACCCAGCAUAGUAGCAAUCCGAAUAAAGAAGAUAGAAAAA